CAGCUAUGUCCACGGUUAACCGUACUUCUUCCAAUAGCUACAAGAAUCCAGGAUUUGAGGAAGAUACUGAUAUUUCAAAGACAAGCGGUACUGCAUUACGAAACAGGAACUUAGAAAGAAGUAACUCCCUUCCACAUGAUGAGCAUGAGACAAACAUUGAUAUUGACAGCGAGCCACAUGGAAGCCAACCUGAAUCAGAAGAAAAUAAGAAUCUUGGGUGCAAGGGG
Thamnophis elegans (Western terrestrial garter snake) is the source of this 227-nucleotide long non-coding RNA. RefSeq lists it as uncharacterized. The transcript is spliced from 3 exons. NCBI's taxonomy places the organism in Eukaryota, Metazoa, Chordata, Lepidosauria, Squamata, Natricidae. The record is from RefSeq and is a predicted model, not a curated record.